UAUUCAGACAUCUACCACAGAAGAUCAACGUUUCAGUUCUCUAAGGAACUUUUGUCAGGAUGAAAGUUCUUUAGAGAACUGAAACGAUCUUCUGUGGC
Pelobates cultripes (western spadefoot toad) is the source of this 98-nucleotide non-coding RNA. Lineage: Eukaryota; Metazoa; Chordata; Amphibia; Anura; Pelobatidae. The record is from the annotation of a GenBank genome assembly.